This 294-nucleotide unclassified non-coding RNA is filed under the name uncultured fungus. Its description in RNAcentral is "partial contains small subunit ribosomal RNA, internal transcribed spacer 1, and 5.8S ribosomal RNA". The stretch from base 1 to 73 matches the Rfam family "Eukaryotic small subunit ribosomal RNA", at positions 1759 to 1831 of the family's 1831-position model. The record is from RNAcentral. Lineage: Eukaryota; Fungi.
GCAAACUUGGUCAUUUAGAGGAAGUAAAAGUCGUAACAAGGUUUCCGUAGGUGAACCUGCGGAAGGAUCAUUACCGAGUUGUGGGACUUCGGUCUCAACUCCCAUCCUAUGUUAACUUUCAAUUGUUGCUUUGGCGGACCGGUGGCUUUGGCUGCCGCCGGCCUUAGAGGGCUGGAGAGCGUCCGCCAGAGGCCUUUUAACGCUCUGUUAAUUGUGAAUUCUGAGUACUUGAUAAUUGAAACCAAAACUUUCAACAACGGAUCUCUUGGUUCUGGCAUCGAUGAAGAACGCAGC